GGAUGGAGGAGAGAAGACUGAGAGCGAAGCUGGAAAAGAAAACAAAGAAACCCAAGGCAGCAGAGUCUGUUUUAAAACCAGAUGUCAGUGAAGGUAAGAUCCUUCAAGAGAUCCUUAUUUUAGCAAAAUACAACUCUAGGGCAGUCUGCUAAUAUGUUCAUGCUUUGUUUUGCAUUGUUUUUGCUUUGCCUACUUUGUUUCUUUUACAGAAGCCCCAGGGCCAUCAAAAGUUAAGACAGGGAAGCCUGAAGAAGCCAGCCUUGAUUCUAGAGAGAAGAAAACCAACUUGGCUCCCAAAAGCACAGCAACAAAUGAGAGCUCUUCUGGAAAAGCUGGGAAGCCUCCGUGUGGAGCCACAAAGAGGUCCAUCGCUGACAGUGAAGAAUCAGAGGCCUACAAGUCCCUCUUUACCACUCACAGCUCCGCCAAGCGCUCCAAGGAGGAGUCUGCCCACUGGGUCACCC
Molecule: small RNA, 464 nt
Filed under: Pongo abelii (Sumatran orangutan)
Lineage: Eukaryota; Metazoa; Chordata; Mammalia; Primates; Hominidae
Description: retained intron
Source: RNAcentral